UGGUUUCAUAGUUUCUCACUUUGCCCCCCUGUGGUUUAAAAUAUUUUAAUUUGCCCCCCUGUGAUUUGGUUUUUACCUUUUCAGUAGCUUUUUCGUUAAUAUUUUAUUAAAUUAUAUACAAAAAACUUCAGAUACCCAUCUAGAUUUAUCAAAUAUUCAUUUUAGUAUCCUUUAAUUUUAACUUUAUCACUGAUUUAAGAAAAAAAAAAUAAUGAAAUUGAUAAGAAAAAGAGAAAAAAGAAACCACAGAGAGGCAAAUUGAUAUAUUUUAAACCACAGGGGGGCAAAGUGAGAAACUACGAAACCAUAUGGGGGUUUUUGAAGUUUUCCCAU
Molecule: long non-coding RNA, 333 nt
Filed under: Ananas comosus (pineapple)
Lineage: Eukaryota; Viridiplantae; Streptophyta; Magnoliopsida; Poales; Bromeliaceae
Description: long non-coding RNA (ACOM_LNC025543)
Source: RNAcentral